This is a long non-coding RNA of Apis cerana (Asiatic honeybee), 7865 nucleotides long. RefSeq lists it as uncharacterized. The record is from RefSeq and is a predicted model, not a curated record. Lineage: Eukaryota; Metazoa; Arthropoda; Insecta; Hymenoptera; Apidae.
GCCUCCGGAUACGGGCGCGUGCACUCGUCCCUACCGGCUUGCAACCCCCUCCGUGUUACCGCUCGUGCUCUUGCCUCUUCGCGAAGUUUCCCUAUGGAUCCAUGCUAGAGCACCGGCUGCACCACCGAUUUUCAACAACGCUGAUUGCCCGGGGCUGCCUGGGAUUGUAGCUCCAUCUCUUCGCGAUAACAUGAAAUGUCACGAUCAGGGGAUGCACUUUCAUUCCGUCGAUGCAAUUUCAGUUAAUUUAAUUACUCACCGUCAAUAUUUCUACUUCCAGCUUUGUUGUUUGAUUGCAAUUUUAAUUAACGAUAAUAAAAAGAUUUCUUUUACAGCUCUAUUUUUUAUUUAAAAAAACCUACUCAGUUUGAAGUUCGUUUAUUUUUCUUCCCCUUUCCCCACUUUUAAUUAGAAAAUAUAUCGAUGAAAUUUAUAAUUUAGGGAAAACUUUAACAAAUACGAACGAAAAAUACGCGUGUUUCGAUACAACGACUCGUUUUAACCAUUAUAGUGGUAACAGUGUAUUUUCUAGGAAUAUUUGUUGUAUGCAUCGUACCGUUCACGGUUAACCUCGCGAUGCAACACCCUUUCCUAUCCGCAGUCCCGUCAACGACCUCUGUCUGCAUAUAGGGUGCCUAACAAACGCAUUCGUCGGUACUCUUUUUCGUGGUGCGUGUAGUCACUGCAGCACAUCGGCGAAAGGAAAUGCAACAGGAAGGAAAUUUACGACUCUCGAGAAAUAAUAGCAAGGUAUCGUUCGAGUCGUAAACCGUAGUUGGAUCGUUUGAGACUCCUAUCACGCCGUAAAUUAGAUACGACGUCAAGAGUAGUUCAAAGGAAAUCUCAGCUACUCCUAGGUACCGAUAUAAAAGUGAGAUUCUUCUUAAAACGUCACGAUUUUAUAUGAUUUAAUUGCCUAUUUUUACAAUUUCACGAAUUUUACAAUUGUUAUUUGUUCCAUCAAUUUUUACUCAUCUUAUCGAUAAUCAUUAAUCAAAUCAAACGCGUAUAUAUUAAAAUUAAAUAUGGUAAACGAAUAUUCCUUAUGAGAUCAAAUAUCCAUUAAAAUAUUUCGACCACGUCCGAUUCAAGAAAGAUGCAAAAGUUCUGUUUUUAUCCAAUUUAAUAUGAUCGAAUCUCGCGAUAUAAAUUUAUACAGUAUCGCCGAUGAAACGAGAAAAACAGAGUUUUUUAUUGCGAUCGAUAUUCCACGAGCACACCGCCAAACAAGUUUCUGUUGAAAUGUCUUAGCACAACGUUCGUGCACAGUGCACUGCGCUAUAGUCUGCGCAUUACACCGUGGAAUGGUUAACUUUCCGUAAUCGAGGUAUCAAGAAUAUCUACACUCUGAAUCGGUUAAGCUAGGUUAAGUUCCGCCGAUCUAUCGUCCUUGAACUCCAACGCCAAUGAUCCCACAGACUAUGCAGGAAUUCGUUCUUAAUGUGGGGUUCGCAGAUCAACGCUACAAUUUUCAAGAUUGCAAUUUAUAAUUAAUUGAAGCGUAAAUCUCGUAAAAAAAGAAAGAAAGAAGAAAUAAAUCGUAAAAAGAAAAAUAGAAAAAGAGAUCAUUAAUUACUCGUAAAAAAAACUUAUUAAAAUUCUUCUCUCGAGUUAAAAAACAAAAUAAUAAUUAUUAAGUGCGAUGAAGUGCACAGCCUAAUAAAAGAACAACCGUUUUGAUACUUUUUAAAGAUGCGCCGCGAUAAAUUUUCAAGAGGAACCAGUUCGCCACGUAAUAUAAAAACGGACGAUGCAAGAAGUUGUCCACCUCCUUUCUACUAAUUGUCAAAAGUCAACUCGAUACGAGGAGGACGAAUAAUCGCCCCACCGAUAUCUUCAAUCUCUUAAUCCGCGAAUCACGCAAUUGCCACCUGCACGAUCCUAUGUAUAUAUUUGCUAACGACGAAACGGGGGAUUCGAUCUAAACUGAUUUCUAAAUGCACCCGUUUGGACCUUGAACCAAGGUGCAACCGUGUUCCAUUGUUCUCUGCCGACGACCCUUCGUCCUCUCCCCAGACCGACCGAUUGCUCGAUUUUUAGUCGGGUCUGCACACACGAUCGGGACCAUGUCCUCGUCGAGGACAGACGACGAUGCGCACUAGAAUAAUUCCAGAAUAUUGAAAACAUUCAUUAGCUUAAAUUUUAUUGGUUUAACUAUUUCACUAUUAAUUGAUAUUCGAUUAUUAUAAAAUAAUAAAAUGAUGAUAAUAUUUACGAAGAAUUUCAGAUAAAAAUUUAUAGGUUUCUUUUACGUUGUUAUAGAAAUAUUUACGUGUAUUAUUUGGUUUCACAAAUAAUGAAAGAAAAGAUCAAAAAUUGAUAUAUCAUAUUGAUAUAUCUAUUCUUAAAAUUUUUUUGCUUCGUUGAAAUUAAUAAUAAAUAAUAGUUUUAAAUGAUAUUACCUAUACGAUGUUAAGAAAGGAUUAUAACGUAACAUACGAGAAAGUUGACUGCAUUUUAUUAGCGUGUCUGGUGUAUGUAACUCUUUUAUUAUUACUAUAAAGUAGCAAGUUACAAGAUUGUAAAUUAAAUAAAAGUACAAAAAGUGUGGAUUCGUAUAAUCACGAAUGCAUAAAUAUUGCACAGAAAAUAAAAAAAAAAUAUUAUUUCUUUUAUUAAAAGUCAACGUGAUUCAACAAUAAUGCCCAAUAAAACGCAGAUUAAACGACGAGUGUCAGCAAAAUCUUAGGACAAUAAACCUUUCCUUUUUAUACUUUUCUUUUCUAUUUGCUCAAAGUAAAAAAAAAAAAAAAAGAAAGAAAAGGAAAAAGAAAAAAUCCGCACACAAUUGCUUAAAUACUAACCAAACCAAACCAUUAUCCUUAUUCGUUGAAACUUAAAUAAAAUUAUACAUUAUUUGAAGUAAGGACACAUUAGACAAAAUCCCAAGGUUUUUCAAAAUCGUUGCCAGUCAUUCAAAUGACGAAAAGGAAAAAGAGAAAAAGAAAUUUCAACCGCUAACUUUCUCUCUAAUCCUUCGGCAAAAGCGGCUAAUUUUGUUUCUCAUUGUUUGCCGAAAGCAACGACCCGUUGCUUUCUCAAGGCUGUCUCGGGAUGCCACCUUUUGCCAUGAGCACCUGCCGACUUCUGCCGAGCUCGUGCUCUCCCGUGCUCGCUCGUAAAUACUUGCAACUUGUCCUGUAAACGUUGUUUUCCGAAACUUUUGCUCGCAUUCGCUCAUUUUUAUCACGGCCAACGACAAGGGGGACGAGCUGAUCGAGCAACGAGCGGCGAUUUACCCGUCAUACCCCGAAGGGGUGGUUUCUCCCGACAUAUGCGCGCCUUCUGUACACGAAACACGAGCGUGAAAGUAUCGUGUUCGUGCACGUGCCCGUUCGUCGAAUUAAUUUGGUGAUCGCCGCAUAAUCAAUCGGAGUAAUUGAUGAUGGAUACAAUUUUGAUGUAAUUGUGGCCGGAGGGAUGGAAAACGUUCGCGCUUAUCCCCUUCCAGGAUGCUGCAAGAAUUGAGCACGACGUAUCGACGAUGAGGUAUGUAGGUUGGAAUUGAUGCGGGAAGACGAGCCAAGGGUUUGCAGCCCUGAGUGAAAUUAAAUGUAGAUAGUCAAGAGGUGUAUGAGGAAUGUAAUAUACGUAAUGCACCGGUUGUGCAUUGUCUCGUAAUUGGAAGAGAUGUGGCUAAAUUGAAUUAUUUCUAACGGAUUCUGCUCGUUUCGCUUCUACUGCAUAUUUGAUUGUUGAUUUAACGAGUGAGUGAAUUGGAAUAAAAUUCUGAAAUAAACGUAAUAAAAUGAGAAUUUUAGAAGAAUUUUUAACUAAAUUUAACUAAUUCCAAGCAUUCGUAUUACGAGUGGAUGUAUAAUUAUUACUUUUUAUUCACAUCAAAGAGCAGAUAUGUUAUUAACUCCCUUAAUCUCGAUAACUAUAUACUACUCUUGAGUUAUUUACAAAAUCGAUUAAAACGGACGUGAAAUAAUUAGAUUUCGAUCACAGCUUGGAAAAUUUUAACGAGACGAAUCGGUUAAUGUCUUCCAUCGCUUGAAAACCGAAUUAAAGUAUCCACAAUUCACUAUAGCAUUCGCUAUAGAAACUAAAUUACUGCAGUCUGGAGGUAGUAAUUUAAAAUUUUAAAAAGCGAGCGGAGAAAUAGCGAAUACUGGAUCAGCUGCGAAUCCUCGCUGCUCAACCUCCUUCGAUUCUGCCCACGUUGCCUCGCGUUUUCGUGGCUACCAUUUUCACAAGUCUCUACCGGCUGUUCUGCAGCGAACGACCGAAGAAAGCGCAGCCCCGAGAGAUGUUGCAACACGAUACUGUUCGGGCCGUGACCGAACACCAGCCACACCGUGCGUGGCUCUUAAUGUCGCGGCUUAUUACGAGCAAUAACGAUCCACUGUAUGCUACAUUUAUAUCUUAUCAGACCCGACGUUAUGCAUCACGCGCCCCAUAAUAUCAUACUUUUAAAAACGUGUUUCUUUAUGCGGCGGAAAGUCGAGCCCCACGCUCGAUUCCCCAAUCCUCUCGAAUCCUAUCAACGCCACCGAACGAUAGAUUACAGGCGUUCCCCAAACAACCGCUAUCGUUUCAACAGAUUUCCAUCCGCGUCCCUCCGCAAUUACGAACAACAGCGCCCCGACGGAUGUUGAGAAACGGAAUGGUAUUCGUUCCAUCCAGCGAGAAAGAGAGAGAGAGAGAAGGGAAAAAGAAAUCUAAAACAGGGAAGGCUCUCCCCGGAAAACGUACAUCCUUAAGGGGUCGCCCUAAGUGUAAAGGACCCUUAAAGACGGACACGAGGGAGUCGCUGGUUAGCGGCACGCGCUCAUAACCGCGUUUCAGGAUGUGGCGCCAACCGGCUCGUGUUUAACUUAAUAACGAACGGAACAGUUUCUGGCCGGCUGGCGCAUUAGCUAACUCCUCUUCGACGUUCGGCAUGCUCGGCCGUAUUUUUAGCGCAUGCAACCGGUUGCCUUGCACGGCGCGAUCAUUGUCGUCGCUUUGCGAAACUGCACCAACUCCUGCGGGGCGGCGUGUCCUCGCGAGAUCGGCGUACCUACACAUAUCGUAUAUCGUACAUGCGUCCGCCACCUGCACAGACACGCGCGCGCACGCGUCUGAGUGUCGCGUUCGCAGAAUACACCUUGGUGAUUUUUCUGCGCGCACACCGGCUCGCGUUUUGCGUUCGCACGCGCGCUCGAAUACCAGAUCGAGCGAGUUCGCGUGCGCCUAUAUACGGACCGGAGAUCGUGUAUGUGCGAGCAAGGUAUACGCGGCGCUGCGAGGAUGGAGAGAAGAGAAAGAGAGAGAGAGAGGAGGGGGGAAUAUUUCGUUCGAUUUCGAUCGACGGGGUGUAACGGGGGAGAACCGCAUUGCUGGCCUGUGAGUCGACCAAGACUGCUAGGACGACAACGACGACGACGACGACGAUGGUGGCGGCGGUGGUGGAGCCGACGCACGUCUUGUCGCCGAACGGCGUGUCUGAAGGGCAGGGCCGUAUUGCUCGCGGCUAGCACCCAUACGAUACCGCCUCGAGCGAUCCGUUUCGCGUGCCAUCGGGGUGAACGAGGUGUGAAUUUUAAUACGAUCACGCCUGGCCACCGAGCCAGCCGAGGGUAAAUAAGAGUUAGACGCCAUGUCAAGGUGUAUCCUUGUGAUACUUUUGAAUUCCGGUUUUUCGGAAUUCAAAGUUUUGUCGUUCCCGAUGCUAGCUGAUCGUUGGGUAUCGUGAGAUUAUUUGUUAUUUUGAUGGAAACGGUGUAGGAAAUUGGCGGAUAUCUCGGAAUGAAUCACGGAGAUAAUAGGUUGAAAAAAUGUUGGAUAACGAUUGAGCGAUUACUUAGCCAAUUCUCGCUGUGAUUCACGAGUACGAAGCCAGAGAAGCAGCCGGUGCUGACAAUAUUGAUCGACUAUCUAUCCCAAUAUCUGGUUAACCACGAAAUUCGGCGGCCACCCACGCAACGACGUCCGUCGAGCGGGGUCAGCAUGGGUAGCGGCCGUAAGGCCGUUGCACAACGGCGAAAACGCAUAAAUAGCAUGGUAAACGAUGAUAGCGCGGAUAAACUGCCUGCUUUCUAAAUAUACCGUGCUCGGUCCAUUCGCGGAAUGUGCUUCUGACCGCAGUCUAUAACACUUGUCACCUUUCCUGCUCUCACCUUUCCUUGAUCUCUGUUUUUACUAGUUAAGAAGUCGGCAAUAUUACACGAAUACGUAUCCUGUUACAAUUCGAUUCUUGUUUCGACGUAAUUCAAUUGCCAAUCACUUCAAACUUAAUUUUCUCUAUUUUUGAGAAAAAUAAGAGAGGUUGCGAUAGCAUUUUACUAGAUUUUUCCUGUUCCUCGAUAUUAUAUAAGAAUUUGUUUUCUGAUAAAUUUAGACUUCUAUCGCUAUUUCUAUCGAUUGUGAAGAAGCAUUCGUACGUGUUGUGUACGUUGUAAACCGAGCUUCAGUUGGUCUAUAGGCUGGCGUGCACUGAGAGCUCGAAAAUUUGAGUGGUGAAUACUCAAGGUUGGGAACCGUGAAAAAUAAGGAUUAAUUGAGGAACAGACGUAUGUCGGCAAGAUUCAAACAUUUUCGAAUCUUUGAUGAUAUAAUAGAUUCUUUGUAUAUUACGUGGUUUAAAAGAACUCUUGAUUAAAAUAAUAAAUAUAUUAAAUUGAAAAUAUAGUGUAAUAAUAAUGAUAAAAAGAUAAGUAAAGAUAAGAUAAUAGUUAGAUGUGAAAAAAUUUACUUCAAAGAUGAAAAUCUUCACAUAACCUCAAUUCAAGAUCUUUGUAACGAUUCUUAACGUGCCUUAUUGGAAUACAGGGAUAUUUUUCACUCUAUAACCAUUUUGUCGAGUGCACGGUCAUCCUUGGUCGAACCGGAGCUCAAAAGAUCGAUAACAGGACAUAGUGGCGUUUCUAUUUAUAUGGGAGUGCGGUUCGACAUAACCAGAGAUACAAUCCGCGAUACGUGCCAGAUAGAAUCUUCCCAUCCAAUUUUAGUUCGUCGAACUGCGAGGAAUUACGAUAUACAUGAAAGCUCGAAGAAUCGCUCGAUGAAGCUCAUCGCACGAAGAAAAAUAUAAAUUCUUAAUAUUACGUUGGAUGGCAGAACUGAGUCGAAAAUUUCGCAAUUCCCGUUUAUAAUAAUAAUACGAUGAGCUCGUUCGUUUCAAUGGAUUCGUUUCAAGAAUAUUUCAUGCCAGAGAUCAUUCUUAAAGUGUGUGGCUUGUCCAUGGAUUGCUGGAAUUCGAAAGUUAAUAGUCAGAGAUCCAUGGUUAAUUUUACAAAUUAAAACUCGUUCUGUUAUUUUAAAAAUAAGAAAUGUGAUAGGAAUAAAUUUUUCAUCAUCCGUUGAUUCAUAGCAUUUCUUCUUCGUAUUAAGCGCAAUAAUGAAAUUUAAGCGAUACAAGAUUUGUUCGCAAGUAAAUUUCUUUAAUUUCAAGGAAUUUCAAUAUUUUGUGAUAAAAUAAUUUUCAAUUUUUAUUUUCCAUUCUGUUACUGUUGCUGCAAAAUAGUGUAAUUUGUUAAUAUACGUUUAUAAAAAGAAAAUAUAGAUGUGAAAAAUGAAAAUAUAAAUUUUAUUGCCUUUUAUAAGCUCGUGUACUAAGGUACUUUAUCCACUGAGUGCACUAGUUUGCUCAAAUUCAAUUUUCUUUCUUAUAACACCAUUCAAGCCAGGUUCUCGAGCUUGAGAAAAGUUUCUCUCGCUUUAUCUUCGUACAUAACGUAAAAAUGUUGUGUGUAUGAAGAGUAUGAAAAAUAUAAUUAUCUUUCAAAAAAACUGUAUUUUUUUGUUGAAAAAAAAAACUAGUACUUAAUUUAUGAUUACGCCCUUAAUUGCGGCUUUUAAAGGGCAUAAUGUGUAAAGUCGUGUGGCCAUACUAAAAACGAAUUUAUUUAGUCAAAAAUAAAAACCAUUACAAUUUAUAA